This is a long non-coding RNA of Cygnus olor (mute swan), 4484 nucleotides long. RefSeq lists it as uncharacterized. The record is from RefSeq and is a predicted model, not a curated record. The transcript has 3 exons. NCBI's taxonomy places the organism in Eukaryota, Metazoa, Chordata, Aves, Anseriformes, Anatidae.
UAAAAAAGAAAAUGCUUCCUAUGUUACAGACGUAGAUUUUUCUUUUUGUUUGUUUGUUUUUAGUUUUUGGCUUUACCUCACAUUUUCCUGGAGAGUAAAUAAUGAAAAAAAAUUGAAAGUUAAUGAAAGUGAGGUGUGCCAUCAGAAUUAUGUGAUCUUAGUGCUGAAUUUCCCCUGGAAUUUUUCAGAGGUACAAACUGAACAAAAGCAUCUCAAACCUGUGGAAGGGGAUAUGUAUGCCUCAAAUACAACUUGAAUUCCCCAAGUAAUACGGAGUGUUGACUAGAAGCCAGCAUCACAAUGCAGGCAAAUAUGUUCUGAUUUGAAGCUCAUAUCUAAUAUUUCUAAUUUUUUGAGGUAAUCAGAAGGUAACCUUGCCUUGAGUGUCCAGUCUAACUGGUGUUAGCAAACCUAGGAAAAGUACUAAUCCCAUAAGUAAAGACAGGUAUGGUUGAGUGAUAACAUUUAAACAGUAUUUUUGGAUUUUCAGGAAGGAUCUUUGAGAACAGGAACUUCUGUACCCUUCAGCAAAAGUCUCUCACCCGUUUGGAUGACAAUACAAGUUCCUAAAAUUCAGUGAUGAGAACCUUGGCCUUCUGAGGUGAAUAUUUUCAUCUCUAAAAUACACUUUUCUUUCCACCUCCUUUCCUGUGACUCAGAAAUACUGUGGCUGGCUGAUGGUGCAGAAAGAGCUGCUACAACUAAGGUAAUUUAGAAGAGGAAGGAUGGAACAGACCCAUAAUCAGAACAAUGCCUAAUGCUCUGGGAAAUGGUCUAAAUACAGUUCAUGAGCUGUGGCAGAGAAUGGAAGGUUUCAGUUACAGAUCUUUAUUUCCACGUAGAAUCAGGCGAUUUCCUUCCCUCUCCACAAGUGUUGAGAGUGGUUUUUGUGUUCCUGCAUAACACCAGCCCUGCAGCUCAUGACAGAGGAGACAAAAUGCUUCUCCUCACCCCCCAGAUAAUGCUGGGAACAACAGUCUGCUGCGAUGGCCGGGCAGGGGCUGAGGUGGGCACGUCUCAGGCCGCCACAGCGCCGAGGCCCUGAGGAGACACACGAAACUCCUCAAAAUGGCGCCUCUCCCCUCAGGUCUCCCCCCAGCGGCCGGCCCAUUCUUCGGUGAGCCACCCCCCUCAGGCUUUCUGGGGCACGCUGUCCGGCUCUGAAGGAGCAGGGCAAGGAGGUUGGGUCUGUCCCUGAGCAACAUCUGUGAAAUGACGGCAGCUUUAAGGUUCAGAGGAACUGCAGGAGGAAAUGUGCUCCACCCUGUCAGGUGGGUCUUCGCGCUGCACAGGGGAGCCAUGCUGUCCUCUCCCCACACAGCAAUUCUGUUGCCCCUUCUGUGCUGGCCAGGCUUUCUGCUGAUAGUUAUCAAACAACUAUAAAAGUGCCGCCAUUUGAAAUAUUCUUCAUGGUGGGGAUUGCUAUUAACCCCUUGCCUGCUUUUCUCUCAGGAUUUCUGAUGCUGGGCGCCUGCCCCUUCAGGCCACCACGCCAAUAAAAAAAUACCCACCUAAGCAUGCCCGUGUCACAUUUUCACUCAUAAACACAACAAGGCCACAUCCCAGUUACCCAUAUUGUUGAAUUCCCAGUAUGGCCCCACCAGAGCACCCUGAAACCACCUUGGUACGGCUGAAGGCUAUCUUUGUGCCUGAAGUCAGCCAGGCCAUGGGCACUAUUUGGGAGAUCACGUGGAGAAAGGUACAAAAUUUCAGACAUAAAAGAUGCAAGCCAUGCUGAGAGCAUUUAUUUGUUCAUAUGAACACCACCAGUGUGCCCAUAAUGCACCAGUCCCCCCAGCAGGUGCUGUUGGGCUCUUUUAGUGACUGCAACUGUCUGUGAGGAGAGCAGGACAGGUGCUUGGGGAGCCGUUACUGCGAUCAGGUGUUGCCCAAAAGUAAUUUAUCAGUGGGGGGGAGACAGCGGCUGUGCUGUUCUCCGAACAUAGUCUCUGGCAGCUGGGCCUCUCUGGCUUGGUGCCUCAAAUGUCCACAGUGGCACGGAAGCUGCAAGAUGGAGUCUGGGCUAGCAGUGGCUGCAACGGCCACCAGGCUGGGCAGGCCUCCUUUCCCUGCUGCUUUGUGUGCCUGGUGGUACCAGGCAGCAGGAGAUCAGCGCAUGCUCCAGGAGAAAGCUGGAUCACCACACUGGUGAACACCCUGCACCCUCUGCUGUUGGCUGUCACAACACAUACAGAAGCUCGUUCCUUGGCACUUCCUUUUGAGUGGCCCAGGCUGAGGGUCUCUGCUCAAUAAGCUGCAGUGGUUCCUGUCCUCUAGCACUCUGUUGAGCUUCCAGAAUUUGAGAAUGCGAAGAAAUCACUCUCCAAUCUGCUCUGUGAGUUUAAGUAAAAACCCUGGCAACAUGCAGUCCUAGGCAUGGACAAGUUACCUGAUAUUCACACCACAUUGCUAAUGCAGGGACUGGUAUAGACAGACAUAGUGAAUAUGCAAAACCACGUGUGUACUGAAGCCAGCUACUUACUGUUCUGAGUGCCUGGCAUGACUUCCUGCUUGGUGGGAAAGGAUUGUUUUUACCAGGCAGUCUCUAGGGCCCUCAAGUCCUCUAUGUUAAGACUGUCAACUAAGAUCAGCUGUAAUGGUGUGUUCGUGAUAUGGCUAUCUGGUCUAGCAGGAAUGAGGCUGAAAAUGACAUAUUUUACACUGAACUGCAGGCAGCUGCAAUGUGAUAAUGUCUGAUGGAGUAACUGUAGACCUGAUUGGGAUUUAAUUUUGCUUGACUCCAGUGAAGACAAAUAGGAGUUCUGCUGCUGACUUCAGCAGGGUCAGGAUGAUCUAUCACCAAUCUCUUUCUGUCCCCUGUGAUGUAUCUGUGAGGAAUUCAUGUAAGAACCGGCUUCUGAUCAAUGCUUCCUUCCUUCCUGCAGUCAGCUUUAUACGGUACAGUGUUAUCUUGUAUUCAAAUGACUGUUACUUGGAUGUUCCACCAAGCCAGCCAAUUAAAUAUUACUCAAAAAAGGACCUUGGCAAAACAGCACUUGCUGAUGUCUAUGACGCAAGAAUGACUCUCUUCUUUGAAAAACAGAGCAAUUAAAGGGGAAAAUAAACUCACAUAAAAUUGAAGAGGUUGAUCCUACUUUAUAACUGGUCCCAUGCUUUCCCAUCAGGGCAGCAGCUGCUUUCUGUGCAACGUGCAUCUGUACAUUCAAAAUACAAACAGCAUUUUCGUCAGUACCACUAAAUUUGGCAAUUAUUCCGAGUAGUCCAAAAUUUGUAUCUCUUUCAGCUAUAAGUUUACUUGUAAUCAGCCUCAAGUUUUAUUUCUGUUCGUUCAGGACUCUAGAGAAACCCAUUACAAACAUUUGGGCAAAAUGUUCUUGAUUUUUUGAAUGCAAAUUACAUUUAAAAAAGAUAACUCUUAUUAGGUGGAGAAGAUAUCUGUUUUGUUUUAGUGCUAGAGAGAUGCAUUUGGAGAAUUAGUCUGUGCUGCAUAGCAUACUGAUACUGACUACAGCAGUUAUUGAUCUCUUACACUUCUCCUAUCUGAGUGAUGGUGAGCCUGUCUCUCACCAUCUUUAGAAACUGAACCAUAGACAGACUGAAUUGCUUCUCCAGCGUCUGGUAUGAAGUCUGAACCCAGGCCCUACAUGCUCUUUACUAGUGCAACAGCUAUGGGAGUGUUCAUAAAUACGCAUUUUAAUGAACUUAAAUUAAACUACUCAGAAACCAAGGGAGAGAAGUAACCAAAAUGUAGGUGUCUACUUGCUCCCAUUCUCCAAAUGAACACGUUUGGAGUACCCAUUCUGGAUACAACCCUGACAACUACGUGCAAGUAAUGUACCAGCAUGCUAAAGUGCAAACACAUUCUUGCAUGCAGCAAAUGAUUGCAAGCAGACCUUGGUGCUCUUCUCUACUUACCUCUACUGUACUGUAGUAACACUGUCUGUAAUAACUCAUUUUUCCUACUUUAAGAUGAAAGAUUAGGGUUAAUUCUGAGGCAAAGAAACCUUGCUGGUACUGCCCAUACAAGAGACAACUGAGAAAGUUGAGGAGACCGCAGCCCAGCAUGAGGGCAAUGAGCAUGCUAAAGCCCUGGAGACAUGCCUCAAAGGAAGCUUUCUUUAAAGAAAAAGCAACAGCUCAAAUAGCGUUGUGCCACGUGUUUACUGCUUGUACUAUUUCUCUACUGGUGUAAAAGAUGAAUGUUUUGCCUACCAGUUCUUCGUUGUUACUUGGAGGUGUGGUUGUGGAACCAUAUGGAGUGAGGAUGUACUGCCCGUAGGAGUGUAUCGUUAAAUAGCACAAAAUGUCGGUCUUCUUCUUUUCAAUAAACUGGGCCACAGCUCUUGUCUCAGGCUCUGAUUCUGGUCCAGAUCCACAGAAGAUUUCACUGGUGCAGUUAUAAGAAACACCAACACCUGGGGAGGAAUACAAAAAGUGAAUUAAAGGAGAGACAUAUUAACUCCAGUUCAGAGAGAAGUUUACCUGGGGGUGUUAGGUGUGUGGGGGGAGGGGCAGGCAGACUA